ACGCGUGGAACCUUACCAGGUCUUGACAUCCUUCGCUACUUCUAGAGAUAGAAGGUUCCCCUUCGGGGGACGAAGUGACAGGUGGUGCAUGGUUGUCGUCAGCUCGUGUCGUGAGAUGUUGGGUUAAGUCCCGCAACGAGCGCAACCCUUGAUCUUAGUUGCCAGCAUUCAGUUGGGCACUCUAAGGUGACUGCCGGUGACAAACCGGAGGAAGGUGGGGAUGACGUCAAAUCAUCAUGCCCCUUAUGACCUGGGCUACACACGUGCUACAAUGGAUGGUACAAAGGGCUGCAAGACCGCGAGGUCAAGCCAAUCCCAUAAAACCAUUCUCAGUUCGGAUUGCAGGCUGCAACUCGCCUGCAUGAAGCCGGAAUCGCUAGUAAUCGCGGAUCAGCAUGCCGCGGUGAAUACGUUCCCGGGCCUUGUACACACCGCCCGU
Molecule: ribosomal RNA, 439 nt
Filed under: uncultured bacterium
Lineage: Bacteria
Description: bacterial SSU rRNA
Rfam family: Bacterial small subunit ribosomal RNA
Source: RNAcentral